AAUUUUGCACCAAAUGAAUUAUAGCUGCCGGCCCAACCAGAUCUGCCCCAAAUUGAACCCUAUUCCACAAGUAGUCCUCCCAGACCAGCGCCGCCGCCGCCGCCCUCCGCCCUCGACCUCCUCCACCAACCAGUGCGCCCCCCAUCGACGUACGCGCCUCACGACGCCGACUCGUCAUCGCCUUCCUUCGGCACCGCCACCGGGGCAGGUCAACUAUGGCGAUGCGUCGAGGUCGAAGUCAACGUCGCCUCCCUCUCCAGCCCCAGAUCCCGUGGCGAAAAUCGCCACCACCAUACCGGCGCGCUCUUCUCCAUGGCACUCCAAGGUAACGAGCACGGGUGAGCUCCCCACCACAGCUCCCUCCAUCCCAACGGCACGAGAGGUGCUCAGAUCCAUCACGCUGGACAACACGCUGCUCAGAUCCGUCAUGCUGGAGUCUCCUCCUCUUUCCCAUGUACUCCUUUGCUACUCAGAGGAGGUGAGGUUGCCCAGCUUCUUUGUUCGAUUUUCUUUUCCUGCUACCGCAGACUGCCAGCGACCAUGUCCUCUGGACUUUUUUCUGUCCAUGAGCUCGCGGAGCUGAGGAUUUGCUUUUUGUGCCUACCUUAGCUACAUUGCUUCUUAGCAAAUAUUCACCAUCUUACAUUUUUAUAACUGAUUUUCUAUUUUGCGACUGUAAAACAAGAAGGCAGUAGAAUAACUACAAAAGGAGAAGGAAUCUGAUGUCCCAACAAAGCACAUGUGAAGAGCGCUCCAGGGAGAAAGAAGAAGGAAACAACAAUCUUGCAAACGAAUAAAGAAACAACAGCUUCAUGACAAAAAAUUUCAUGAGUGGAAAUCCUUUUUAAUGGACUGAUGGUGGGACUUGGGAGCAAAGGCCCUAUUCGGAUCCCCUCCGCUCCCCUACUGCAGCUCCCGGAGCGGAGGGAGUGCCAGCACAAUCGCGCGGAGCAGUUCGAACCCGGCUCCUCGCGCGGAGCGGAGUUGAGAAUCUAGAAGCUUCCGAACAGGCAGUAACUUUUGCACAAAUUUGGUUACGAGUCAUUGCUUUUUGCACAAAUUUGGUCAUGGGGUAAUCAAUCCAGAAUCUCAACAUUCUAGCAUUUUGCACAAAUUUGUGAAGUUCGACUUCUUAGUGUCAUGGCUCACAACUAAAUGUUCCAGGAUUAUUAUAUUGCAGAACUCAGAUGUGAAAAUCAAACUACUUUUGCUUGAUCCUAUUGAGUAUGAACAUGAAACAAUGCUUGCCUGUGCUGUCAGCUACUGUUCCUAAUUCACCACACAUUGUGCUAUCUUUCAUUCAAUUAAAUGUAUAACCUUGCUUUUCAUUUGAUUCGUACAACAACUGCAUCUUGCUUCCAGAAUUUCUUCAUGGUCCUGUGUAAUCUAUCUCUCAUAAUUAUAUACACAUUAUGCCUGAACCUGUGUUGUUUGUGUGAAAGGAAACAUCUCUAGUAUUUUCAAAUGUUUAUACAUAGCUUGAACUAUAUUGGAAGGUAUCAAUGUUUGUGAAUUAAUACUCAAGCCACAAUAAUAUUGGUAUAGAUAUAUAUGUGAAGCUUGAAAAUACGCCAGUAGGAAUACAUGUCAGCUGCCAUAUGUAGUUGUAAGCUACUUGCUUUAAAAACAUCACUAUGGUUUGCUUUUGUGCUUGCAAAAUGAUUAUUAUGCAAGCAUGUACUUGCUGUCUGAGCCUAUAUUCUUUGUUUGUGUGCUACAGUACAUAUCAUUUACCAAAGUUAUUAGCUCAUGGCAUUUGAACCAUCUUAUCUAUUCAGGUUGGCAUCAUCACUGGAAGAUGUUUCUACAUGAUGUUUCUUCUCUUCGUAUUAACAUCUUAAAAGCAUUACAAAUUCGUAACUCUUCUGCUGGAGACAUGUGGCCAUCUUCGAAUAAUGCAGUUUCAUUGGAUGGUGUGAGUUUGGUAUUCAGAUGAAUAUGUUAAUUCCAUCAAAGAAACAGCUUGAACAGAAAUGUACAAAAGAGUAAUCACGCAACUUGUAUUCGUGGACAUGGCUACAGCUAUGCACUAAAGUUAAACCAUUUGUGUAGCUUCAGUCUAAGGACACAAAAUCUUAUCGUCUUAUGUAAAUUUUGUUAACCGUUGUAGCUAGAUGCUACUAAACACAUGUACGGAAAUAAGCUUAUUUGUACUGAACUUUUAGUUUGUGAAUGUUUAUGAAAGUUUAAGGUUUUGGGUGAGGUA
Molecule: long non-coding RNA, 2206 nt
Organism: Triticum aestivum (bread wheat)
Lineage: Eukaryota; Viridiplantae; Streptophyta; Magnoliopsida; Poales; Poaceae
Exons: 3
Source: RefSeq, a predicted model, not a curated record